GUAGUUUUAUUUUUACAACUUUUUUUUUCAACUUUUUUACUAAAAUCUUUUAUUUUCUUGAAAAACAAC
This 69-nucleotide transfer RNA is filed under the name Ancyrocephalus mogurndae. Its description in RNAcentral is "tRNA-Leu". The record is from RNAcentral. Lineage: Eukaryota; Metazoa; Platyhelminthes; Monogenea; Dactylogyridea; Ancyrocephalidae.